UACGAAGGGGGCGAGCGUUGUUCGGAUUUACUGGGCGUAAAGGGCGCGCAGGCGGUUCUGUUUGUCGAGUGUGAAAGCCCCGGGCUCAACCUGGGAACUGCGCUCGAAACGGCAGAACUAGAGUUCGGGAGGGGAGAGUGGAAUUCCCAGUGUAGAGGUGAAAUUCGUAGAUAUUGGGAAGAACACCGGUGGCGAAGGCGGCUCUCUGGACCGAUACUGACGCUGAGGCGCGAAAGCGUGGGGAGCAAACAGG
This 253-nucleotide ribosomal RNA is filed under the name uncultured bacterium. RNAcentral describes it as "partial 16S ribosomal RNA". It matches the Rfam family "Bacterial small subunit ribosomal RNA", at positions 524 to 776 of the family's 1533-position model. The record is from RNAcentral.